RNAcentral lists this long non-coding RNA (230 nucleotides) under Lepidothrix coronata (blue-crowned manakin). RNAcentral describes it as "lncRNA (ENSLCOG00000003832.1)". Lineage: Eukaryota; Metazoa; Chordata; Aves; Passeriformes; Pipridae. The record is from RNAcentral.
AGGGCUAUCCAGGACCCCCAGGAGGCCCUGGACCUGUGGGGCCAGAGGGAUUACCUGGAUCUUCAGGGCCACGAGGACCAUCAGGGCCGCAGGGACCUAAGGGAAGAAGGGGGCCAAGAGGUCCAGAUGGUCCUCCGGGAGAACUGGGAACAGAAGGCAUUAAGGUGAGUGCUUGCAUUACUCAGUACUGUACAAAGCACUGAGGUAGAAACAGAUAAAAGAAAACAAAC